AACGAACGCUGGCGGCAUGCCUAACACAUGCAAGUCGAACGAGACCUUCGGGUCUAGUGGCGCGCGGGUGCGUAACGCGUGGGAACCUGCCCUUAGGUUCGGAAUAACUCCCCGAAAGGGGUGCUAAUACCGGAUAAUGUCUUCGGACCAAAGAUUUAUCGCCUUUGGAUGGGCCCGCGUUGGAUUAGCUAGUUGGUAGGGUAAAAGCCUACCAAGGCGACGAUCCAUAGCUGGUCUGAGAGGAUGAUCAGCCACACUGGGACUGAGACACGGCCCAGACUCCUACGGGAGGCAGCAGUGGGGAAUAUUGGACAAUGGGCGAAAGCCUGAUCCAGCAAUGCCGCGUGAGUGAUGAAGGCCUUAGGGUUGUAAAGCUCUUUUACCCGGGAUGAUAAUGACAGUACCGUGAGAAUAAGCUCCGGCUAACUCCGUG
RNAcentral lists this ribosomal RNA (433 nucleotides) under uncultured bacterium. Its description in RNAcentral is "partial 16S ribosomal RNA". It matches the Rfam family "Bacterial small subunit ribosomal RNA", at positions 29 to 507 of the family's 1533-position model. The record is from RNAcentral.